This 465-nucleotide ribosomal RNA is filed under the name uncultured bacterium. Its description in RNAcentral is "bacterial SSU rRNA". It matches the Rfam family "Bacterial small subunit ribosomal RNA", at positions 331 to 793 of the family's 1533-position model. The record is from RNAcentral.
CCAGACUCCUACGGGAGGCAGCAGUGAGGAAUAUUGGUCAAUGGACGCAAGUCUGAACCAGCCAUGCCGCGUGCAGGAAGACGGCUCUAUGAGUUGUAAACUGCUUUUGUACGAGGGUAAAUCCCGAUACGUGUAUCGGGUUGAAAGUAUCGUACGAAUAAGGAUCGGCUAACUCCGUGCCAGCAGCCGCGGUAAUACGGAGGAUUCAAGCGUUAUCCGGAUUUAUUGGGUUUAAAGGGUGCGUAGGCGGUUCGAUAAGUUAGAGGUGAAAUCCCGGGGCUCAACUCCGGCACUGCCUCUGAUACUGUCGGGCUAGAGUUUAGUUGCGGUAGGCGGAAUGUAUGGUGUAGCGGUGAAAUGCAUAGAGAUCAUACAGAACACCGAUUGCGAAGGCAGCAUACCGGCGCCCGACUGACGCUGAAGCACGAAAGCGUGGGUAUCGAACAGGAUUAGAUACCCUGGUAA